AGUGAACGCUGGCGGCAUGCCUAACACAUGCAAGUCGAACGGCAGCACGGGAGGUUCUAGCUGUUAGCGGUUGGCGAUGGGGGGCGGGUUAGGUCUGAAUCGGAAUCUACUUUUUCGUGAGGGCUGACAAAGGGGAAUUUAUACUACAACCGCAUAACGCCUACAGGCGAAGGAACUGGAGCUUCGGCCCUUGCGGGAUGGCAUGUGCCGAUGUCGGAUUAGCUAGUUGGCGGGGUAAAGGCCCACCAAGGCGACGAUCAGUAGCUGGUCUGAGAGGAUGAUCAGCCACACUGGAACUGAGACACGGUCCAGACUCCUACGGGAGGCAGCAGUGGGGAAUAUUGGACAAUGGGCGCAAGCCUGAUCCAGCCAUGCCGCGUGUGUGAAGAAGGCCUUCGGGUUGUAAAGCCCUUUUGUUGGGAAAGAAAAGCUGCACGUUAAUACCCCGCGGGUCUGACGGUACCGAAAGAAUAAGCACCGGCUAACUUCGUG
This 492-nucleotide ribosomal RNA is filed under the name uncultured bacterium. RNAcentral's name for it is "partial 16S ribosomal RNA". It matches the Rfam family "Bacterial small subunit ribosomal RNA", at positions 29 to 507 of the family's 1533-position model. The record is from RNAcentral.